Molecule: ribosomal RNA, 170 nt
Filed under: uncultured bacterium
Lineage: Bacteria
Description: partial 16S ribosomal RNA
Rfam family: Bacterial small subunit ribosomal RNA
Source: RNAcentral
CCUACGGGAGGCAGCAGUAGGGAAUCUUCCACAAUGGGCGAAAGCCUGAUGGAGCGACGCCGCGUGAGGGACGAAGGCCUUCGGGUCGUAAACCUCUGUCCCCAGGGACGAGAGAGGACGGUACCUGGGGAGGAAGCCACGGCUAACUACGUGCCAGCAGCCGCGGUAAU